RNAcentral lists this ribosomal RNA (495 nucleotides) under uncultured bacterium. RNAcentral's name for it is "partial 16S ribosomal RNA". It matches the Rfam family "Bacterial small subunit ribosomal RNA", at positions 30 to 507 of the family's 1533-position model. The record is from RNAcentral.
UGAACGCUGGCGGCGUGCCUAAUACAUGCAAGUCGAGCGAACAGACGAGGAGCUUGCUCCUCUGACGUUAGCGGCGGACGGGUGAGUAACACGUGGAUAACCUACCUAUAAGACUGGGAUAACUUCGGGAAACCGGAGCUAAUACCGGAUAAUAUAUUGAACCGCAUGGUUCAAUAGUGAAAGACGGUUUUGCUGUCACUUAUAGAUGGAUCCGCGCCGCAUUAGCUAGUUGGUAAGGUAACGGCUUACCAAGGCGACGAUGCGUAGCCGACCUGAGAGGGUGAUCGGCCACACUGGAACUGAGACACGGUCCAGACUCCUACGGGAGGCAGCAGUAGGGAAUCUUCCGCAAUGGGCGAAAGCCUGACGGAGCAACGCCGCGUGAGUGAUGAAGGUCUUCGGAUCGUAAAACUCUGUUAUUAGGGAAGAACAAAUGUGUAAGUAACUAUGCACGUCUUGGCGGUACCUAAUCAGAAAGCCACGGCUAACUACGUG